RNAcentral lists this long non-coding RNA (254 nucleotides) under Gossypium raimondii (Peruvian cotton). Its description in RNAcentral is "long non-coding RNA (GRAI_LNC005657)". The record is from RNAcentral. Lineage: Eukaryota; Viridiplantae; Streptophyta; Magnoliopsida; Malvales; Malvaceae.
AAUCUGGGGGUGAUAUGUGUAUGAGCCCAUUUUUCCCGGGCCCAGUGCCAAAACAAAAACAAAAAAUAAUAACAGCCCAAUUCAAACCCAACAGGCUCACAAAAUUAAAAGACACUAGCCCUCAAAUCCAGCAGGUUUUAGCCAAGGAGAAACCCUAGGUGCGCCGCACUUAGGUCUUCAGCCUCCAGCGUCGCUCCACCUGCGCCACACCCCACCGUCGCCGCUCGUCAAUCGCCAGCCUGACACCUGCAAAC